RNAcentral lists this ribosomal RNA (496 nucleotides) under uncultured bacterium. RNAcentral describes it as "partial 16S ribosomal RNA". It matches the Rfam family "Bacterial small subunit ribosomal RNA", at positions 28 to 507 of the family's 1533-position model. The record is from RNAcentral.
GAUGAACGCUGGCGGCGUGCCUAAUACAUGCAAGUCGAGCGAACAGACGAGGAGCUUGCUCCUCUGACGUUAGCGGCGGACGGGUGAGUAACACGUGGAAACCUACCUAUAAGACUGGGAUAACUUCGGGAAACCGGAGCUAAUACCGGAUAAUAUAUUGAACCGCCUGGUUCAAUAGUGAAAGACGGUUUUGCUGUCACUUAUAGAUGGAUCCGCGCCGCAUUAGCUAGUUGGUAAGGUAACGGCUUACCAAGGCAACGAUGCGUAGCCGACCUGAGAGGGUGAUCGGCCACACUGGAACUGAGACACGGUCCAGACUCCUACGGGAGGCAGCAGUAGGGAAUCGUCCGCAAUGGGCGAAAGCCUGACGGAGCAACGCCGCGUGAGUGAUGAAGGUCUUCGGAUCGUAAAACUCUGUUAUUAGGGAAGAACAAAUGUGUAAGUAACUAUGCACGUCUUGACGGUACCUAAUCAGAAAGCCACGGCUAACUACGUG